AUACGUACCUUCCAGGGGAGGUAACCACGAUCACGCAGCCUCCCAGAUCGAGGCUCACUCAUUGAACUCUGGCUGUGCUGAGCCCAGAGAUUUCCCCAAAUGUGGGGAACUCAACUGCAGACUUAGAGAUAGUGGGGUGGCUGUGUCAAAGUGAGGACAAAAUCUCU
Molecule: small nuclear RNA, 167 nt
Filed under: Sorex araneus (European shrew)
Lineage: Eukaryota; Metazoa; Chordata; Mammalia; Eulipotyphla; Soricidae
Description: U1 spliceosomal RNA (ENSSARG00000018772.1)
Rfam family: U1 spliceosomal RNA (bases 1-145)
About the family: U1 is a small nuclear RNA (snRNA) component of the spliceosome (involved in pre-mRNA splicing). Its 5' end forms complementary base pairs with the 5' splice junction, thus defining the 5' donor site of an intron. There are significant differences in sequence and secondary structure between metazoan and yeast U1 snRNAs, the latter being much longer (568 nucleotides as compared to 164 nucleotides in human).
Source: RNAcentral